Non-coding RNA from Brachypodium distachyon (stiff brome), 166 nucleotides. Lineage: Eukaryota; Viridiplantae; Streptophyta; Magnoliopsida; Poales; Poaceae. The record is from Rfam.
AAUAUACUCCCUCCGUCCCAUCUUAAGUGUCGCAACUUUGUCUAGAUACGCAUGUACCUAACACUAAAAUGCGUCUAGAUACAUGCGUAUCUAGACAAAGUUGCGACGUGUUAGGUACAUGCGUAUCUAGACAAAGUUGCGACACUUAAGACGGAGGGAGUACUUG